GGUCGCAAAGUGUGCAUGAACAGCGUGCAUGGAGUGAGCGAGGCACAUCAGGUCCAGUUGGCACGGUGGGUGGAACUAGUGGCACUGAAGAUCGCAAUGGAGCCAUUUCACCCCGCAAGGAGCAGGGAAGGGCCUCGACAGAGAACUGGAGGUCCCGGGGAAGUGAAAAUGAUGAGACUGAGCGAUGGAGGGGUGUAGGCAGUGGUCGCAGUGAAAAAUGGGGUGCACGAUGUGGUUGGCGAGAGAGAGAGAAUGGCCUAGAUGGAGACUGGGAUGACGGCUCUGGACGAGGGACUGGCCGGGGUGUCCCAGUUACCUCACGUAAUACACGGCAACCUUGGGAUGACAAAGACGGACACCACAGGAAAUCAUGGGAGGAAGAUAACUUGCCAGAGUGGGCAACUGAGAAUGCAGAUGAGAAAGGUGGAAGCUUUGAUGC
Penaeus vannamei (Pacific white shrimp) is the source of this 439-nucleotide non-coding RNA. The record is from RefSeq and is a predicted model, not a curated record. NCBI's taxonomy places the organism in Eukaryota, Metazoa, Arthropoda, Malacostraca, Decapoda, Penaeidae.